CCCUUAGAUGUUCUGGGCUGCACGCGCGCUACGCUGACACACCCAGCGAGUCUCCUGCCCUGACAGGGUUGGGUAAUCAUUGGAGUGUGUGUCGUGAUGGGGAUAGAGUAUUGCAAUUAUUGCUCUCGAACGAGGAAUUCCUAGUAAGCACAAGUCAGCAGCUUGUGCUGAUUACGUCCCUGCCCUUUGUACACACCGCCCGUCGCUCCUACCGAGGGGGUGAUCCGGUGAAUGAUUCGGACUUUGGCGUUUCUAGCUGCUAGCAGCGCUGAAGAAAGUUUUGUGAACCUUAUCACUUGGAGGAAGGAGAAGUCGUAACA
This 320-nucleotide ribosomal RNA is filed under the name uncultured eukaryote. RNAcentral's name for it is "partial 18S ribosomal RNA". It matches the Rfam family "Eukaryotic small subunit ribosomal RNA", at positions 1470 to 1796 of the family's 1831-position model. The record is from RNAcentral.